UAAAAUUUGGCGCAACUGGGAUACCUUUUUGGUGGUCAGAGGUGGCUCUGGCUCGGCGGCGGGCGACGGUCGACUCCCUUUCCGUCGACUGGUUCUUCUUCUCCAGCGGGGGAGCUGGCGACUAAGGUUAGAGUUUGAUGUGAAGUGAGGUAUUUAUAUCCAUCCUCUUUUAAUCUGGACCGUCCAAUCGCAUUUAAAUAGGAAGUGGAUUUGGACCGUUUAUCGCGAUUUAAUCUCGACUGUAUGAUCGCGUUUAAAGAGAAAACGGAUCCAGACCAUCCACACGCACGGAAACAAAUCCAAACUGUCCAAUUGAGGGCACGUGGAUUGCCAGCGUGGCCUUCCGUGUGGCAUUGUGUCAGCGGGCCUUGCCAUGCGGCGCACUUCGGUUAGUCAGGCUGCUGACUGGGCGUCCUACAUAGCACAUUUUU
Molecule: long non-coding RNA, 431 nt
Filed under: Carica papaya (papaya)
Lineage: Eukaryota; Viridiplantae; Streptophyta; Magnoliopsida; Brassicales; Caricaceae
Description: long non-coding RNA (CPAP_LNC002237)
Source: RNAcentral